RNAcentral lists this ribosomal RNA (441 nucleotides) under uncultured bacterium. RNAcentral's name for it is "bacterial SSU rRNA". It matches the Rfam family "Bacterial small subunit ribosomal RNA", at positions 8 to 453 of the family's 1533-position model. The record is from RNAcentral.
AGAGUUUGAUCCUGGCUCAGAUUGAACGCUGGCGGCAUGCUUUACACAUGCAAGUCGAACGGUAACAGGCCGCAAGGUGCUGACGAGUGGCGAACGGGUGAGUAAUGCAUCGGAACGUGCCCAGUCGUGGGGGAUAACGCAGCGAAAGCUGCGCUAAUACCGCAUACGAUCUAUGGAUGAAAGCGGGGGACCGAAAGGCCUCGCGCGAUUGGAGCGGCCGAUGUCAGAUUAGGUAGUUGGUGGGGUAAAGGCUCACCAAGCCGACGAUCUGUAGCUGGUCUGAGAGGACGACCAGCCACACUGGAACUGAGACACGGUCCAGACUCCUACGGGAGGCAGCAGUGGGGAAUUUUGGACAAUGGGCGCAAGCCUGAUCCAGCAAUGCCGCGUGCAGGAAGAAGGCCUUCGGGUUGUAAACUGCUUUUGUACGGAACGAAACGG